CGUACUGGAUAGUCUGGUUUAACAGCUUUUGAAGAUUUCUGUCUUUUUUGUUGACAGGAUUCCAUUGUUUCCUCCUAAAAGCACCUAAGACAAUGUUUGACUUUUCUCUACUCAGCUCCCUGUGAGGAGAAAAAAGGAGAAGUCAGUUCACAGGACAGCCUGAAUUGGUGAUUCCUGAAAGGCGGAGGUCGGGGGGGCAGAGAGGUGGGAUUGAAAGGGCCAGUGGGCGGUCACUGCUCCUGGGCUGAUGGGCAUUGACACCCAGCCAUAACCAGUCACCUGGGAUGCCAGUGAGGAGAUGUCAUCUUUUUCUCUCUCAGCUUUCUGCUCAGCCUGAGGGAAAAGAGGAACGUGGACUCCAGAUUCCUGAACUCCAGCACCAUGUGCUCCAGAACUCUUGACCUCAGUGCUGCAGACACCUAGGGCAUUGGAAACAGGAAUUCUGAUGGAGCCAGCUGCAUGUUGUCAGCUGCCCUGUGGAGAGGCCCACACAGCGAGGAACUGAGGGCAGACUCCAGCCAACAGCCAGGGAGGAACUGAGGCCCUCAGUCCAACAGCCACAGGAACUGCAUCCUACCAGCAAUCACACGAGUGAGCUCAGAAGCAGAUUCUUCCCAGCUGAGCCUUGAGCUGACGGCAGCCCACACCAAGGCCUUGAUUUCAGUCUCAGAGACCCUGAGCCAUAGGACCAGCUAAAGGACCCCUGGAUCCUGACCCACAGAAACUGCGAGACUGUACAUGGUAUUAUUUUAAGGCACAAGUUUUCGAGUAACAGGUUACACAGCAAUGGAUAACUAAUACAAUAACAAGGUUGCUCUCCCUUCCCCUUCCUUCCAGGCAGUGUAGUAGUCAGGAUGGGCUGGGCUGGGCUGUGGUAACAAAUAAUUACAAUACCUCAGGGUCUUAGAAAAGGAGAGUUUAUAUCAUACAGCACAUGUCCCAUGAGAGAGGGAGGGAGGGGGCCUGUCACACGUGGUGGAGGCUCCACCACCUUGUAGCUGCACCACAUGAAAUCCACAGUGUCCUCAGAGCCUCUCAGUCCCACCUCAGAGUAUUUUUAUUGAAAG
This 1067-nucleotide long non-coding RNA is filed under the name Equus caballus (horse). RNAcentral's name for it is "lncRNA (ENSECAG00000047788.1)". The record is from RNAcentral. Lineage: Eukaryota; Metazoa; Chordata; Mammalia; Perissodactyla; Equidae.